GCCUUGCUGGCUCAGUAGGUGGAGCACAGGACUCUUGAUCUUGGGGUUGUGAGUUUAAGCCCCACACUGGGCA
RNAcentral lists this transfer RNA (73 nucleotides) under Felis catus (domestic cat). It matches the Rfam family "tRNA". Rfam says of the family: Transfer RNA (tRNA) molecules are approximately 80 nucleotides in length. Their secondary structure includes four short double-helical elements and three loops (D, anti-codon, and T loops). The record is from Rfam by way of RNAcentral. RNAcentral also lists the same sequence under 3 other names. Lineage: Eukaryota; Metazoa; Chordata; Mammalia; Carnivora; Felidae.